Molecule: ribosomal RNA, 253 nt
Filed under: uncultured bacterium
Lineage: Bacteria
Description: partial 16S ribosomal RNA
Rfam family: Bacterial small subunit ribosomal RNA
Source: RNAcentral
UACGUAGGGUGCGAGCGUUGACCGGAUUUAUUGGGCGUAAAGGGCGCGUAGGCGGCUCGGCACGUCCGUUGUGAAAUCGCCCGGCUCAACUGGGCGGGGUCAGUGGAUACGGUCGAGCUUGAGCAAGCUAGGGGGCAAUGGAAUUCCCGGUGUAGUGGUGGAAUGCGCAGAUAUCAGGAGGAACACCGGUGGCGAAGGCGGGUCUCUGGGCCGAGACUGACGCUGAGAAGCGAAAGCGUGGGGAGCGAACAGG